This 365-nucleotide ribosomal RNA is filed under the name Klebsiella variicola. RNAcentral describes it as "bacterial SSU rRNA". It matches the Rfam family "Bacterial small subunit ribosomal RNA", at positions 295 to 652 of the family's 1533-position model. Lineage: Bacteria; Pseudomonadati; Pseudomonadota; Gammaproteobacteria; Enterobacterales; Enterobacteriaceae. The record is from RNAcentral.
AGAGGAUGACCAGCCACACUGGAACUGAUACACGGUCCAGACUCCUACGGGAGGCAGCAGUGGGGAAUAUUGCACAAUGGGCGCAAGCCUGAUGCAGCCAUGCCGCGUGUGUGAAGAAGGCCUUCGGGUUGUAAAGCACUUUCAGCGGGGAGGAAGGCGGUGAGGUUAAUAACCUUGUCCAUUGACGUUACCCGCAGAACAAGCACCGGCUAACUCCGUGCCAGCCGCCGCGGUAAUACGGAGGGUGCAAGCGUUAAUCGCAAUUACUGGGCGUAAAGCGCACGCAGGCGGUCUGUCAAGUCGGAUGUGAAAUCCCCGGGCUCAACCUGGGAACUGCAUUCGAAACUGGCAAGCUAGAGUCUUGU